CGAAUUCUGCAAAAGAUACAUGUCUUAAGGGCAUAUUUUCUUACCUUCAGUGCAGCCCUCAUUGCCCGUUCUGUCUACAAGGAGGUGGCGUGGAUGGGCGACAUGGCCAGCUGGAUUAGUGCAGGGAUUGUACUGACAGCCACAAGAAUGGGCCAGAGGGCUUCUACUACUUCUAUCCCACCUUCACUUAUUUCAGAAGGAGAGUUGAUGAUAGAAAUUUCUAAACCAAACUGGAAAGACCCACCGAUGCCCAAGUCAAGAGCCAGGGGUAAGACCUUCCAGCUGUUCAGCUGUCAGAAAGAAGCAGAAAAUAGGGUUGUUUGGGAAGAAGAUGUAUAAAGAAAGCUGACAAAUGAUAUGCAGCUGGAGGAGCUGGGUAAAGGGCACUGAUGAAAGCCAGUAUCAAGGGACUGGUGUAAACUAGAAUGGACUGGCCGAGAGUCUGAUAGCUAAUUUCACAAGACUUUUGUUCUGGCUGAGAUUUUAUUGGCUUGAGUAGUCAAGCAAUACCUUCUAAAUAAAUAAUAUUUGACCAUUCCCUCA
This 543-nucleotide long non-coding RNA is filed under the name Gopherus agassizii (Agassiz's desert tortoise). RNAcentral's name for it is "lncRNA (ENSGAGG00000007682.1)". Lineage: Eukaryota; Metazoa; Chordata; Testudines; Testudinidae. The record is from RNAcentral.